CUAGAGAGACAGGAGACUUUGGAGAACUUCUAACAGGCAAAAAGCAGGGAUGGGUGAAUUUAUCAAUUCCUGUUUCAGUUUCUCAGUCUGAAGUACACAUUUCUGGUUCAGGUUGCAAUUAUUAUUUUUUAAGUCAUUGUGAAAAUUUGUUAGCAUUUUAGUAUACUAAUAUAUACUGCACCUUUGCAUGUUGUUUUCAUUAAUAUACUGUAUGCCUUUUUAUACACAGUAUUUGGUUGGAGAACCACGUCACAAAAUUCAGAGAAGUGAGAAUUUUAAAGGAUAACUGUACUUCGGUUCAUCUAUUGUUUCAGAAAGUGUGAAUUAGGUA
Molecule: non-coding RNA, 331 nt
Organism: Podarcis lilfordi (Lilford's wall lizard)
Lineage: Eukaryota; Metazoa; Chordata; Lepidosauria; Squamata; Lacertidae
Source: the annotation of a GenBank genome assembly